RNAcentral lists this ribosomal RNA (244 nucleotides) under uncultured bacterium. RNAcentral describes it as "partial small subunit ribosomal RNA". It matches the Rfam family "Bacterial small subunit ribosomal RNA", at positions 26 to 284 of the family's 1533-position model. The record is from RNAcentral.
AGAAUCAACGCUGGCGGCGUGCCUAACACAUGCAAGUCGAACGAGAAAGGGUAGCAAUACCUGAGUAAAGUGGCGCACGGGUGAGUAACACGUGACUAACCUACCCUGGAGUGGGGGAUAACUGAGGGAAACCUUAGCUAAUACCGCAUAAUACCUACGGGUCAAAGGAGCAAUUCGCUUUGGGAGGGGAUCGCGGCCGAUUAGUUAGUUGGCGGGGUAAUGGCCCACCAAGACAGUGAUCGGU